ACUAACAGACCAAUCAACUUCCUUAUGCAUACGAUUAUGCAGCUAUGUAAAAGUCUGUGCUGCGGCCUUAAGAAUCAUUAAUGUUUCCAUAGCGACGCUAUGGUCCAAAUUAUUCCGUUCAACCAUAUAUGUAAUACUCCUAUAUUGCUAACGGCAAUGGAGAGCUGCCGAAAACAUCGGUGCAGACGAUCGUUUCUCACUUCCACAAUUCGUGUACUUUCGCAAUGCGCAUGCACGUGUUCCCAACCUAUAUUUCAUUACCACGUUUAUUGUGUCCGACCAGUUCGACGUAUUCAUCAGUAGCUUUAUAUAUUUCUGUAUUCAGUGUUCAGUAGUGAAUAUUUAAAAAAGGAAAUAAUGCCGCGAUCUUGUUAUUUGUGUCAAAGAAAAACCACGGAGGAUGAAAAGAUUACUUUACAUAAAUUUCCGAAAACACCCGAAAUACGAAAAAAAUAGAUCGACGCUUGCGGAUUCCAUGAAAAAAAUGUGUCCAAAAUUUAUAUUUGCUCACAUCACUUUGAUUUACCUAAUAACACUGAAAAGAGAUUACCUCCUGGGGCUAUACCCACUGUACAAAUAACUGUACCAAAUCAAUCAGUUGAAUUAUCAAAUGCAU
This is a long non-coding RNA of Solenopsis invicta (red fire ant), 616 nucleotides long. RefSeq lists it as uncharacterized. The transcript has 2 exons. The record is from RefSeq and is a predicted model, not a curated record. NCBI's taxonomy places the organism in Eukaryota, Metazoa, Arthropoda, Insecta, Hymenoptera, Formicidae.